This 253-nucleotide ribosomal RNA is filed under the name uncultured bacterium. Its description in RNAcentral is "partial 16S ribosomal RNA". It matches the Rfam family "Bacterial small subunit ribosomal RNA", at positions 524 to 776 of the family's 1533-position model. The record is from RNAcentral.
UACGUAGGUGGCAAGCGUUGUCCGGAUUUAUUGGGUUUAAAGGGUGCGUAGGCGGCUUUGUAAGUCAGUGGUGAAAUAUGGCAGCUUAACUGUCAAGGUGCCAUUGAUACUGCGGAGCUUGAGUACAGAUGAGGUAGGCGGAAUUGACGGUGUAGCGGUGAAAUGCUUAGAGAUCGGGAGGAACACCGGUGGCGAAGGCGGUCUUCUGGACGGUGACUGACGCUGAGGCGCGAAAGCGUGGGGAGCAAACGGG